RNAcentral lists this ribosomal RNA (460 nucleotides) under uncultured bacterium. Its description in RNAcentral is "partial 16S ribosomal RNA". It matches the Rfam family "Bacterial small subunit ribosomal RNA", at positions 338 to 795 of the family's 1533-position model. The record is from RNAcentral.
CCUACGGGUGGCAGCAGUGAGGAAUAUUGGUCAAUGGGCGGGAGUCUGAACCAGCCAAGUAGCGUGAAGGAUGACUGCCCUAUGGGUUGUAAACUUCUUUUAUACGGGAAUAACACGCGUCACGUGUGCCGUUUUGCAUGUACUUUAUGAAUAAGGAGCGGCUAAUUCCGUGCCAGCAGCCGCGGUAAUACGGAGGAUCCGUGCGUUAUCCGGAUUUAUUGGGGUUAAAGGGAGCGUAGAUGGGAUGUUAAGUGUGUUGUGAAAGGUUGCGGCUCAACCGGAAAAUUGCAGUGGAUACUGGCAGUCUUGAGGCCAGUGGAGGUAGGCGGAAUUCGUGGUGUAGCGGUGAAAUGCUUAGAUAUCACGAAGAACCCCGAUUGCGAAGGCAGCUUACUAAACUGGGACUGACACUGAUGCUCGAAAGUGUGGGUAUCGAACAGGAUUAGAUACCCGGGUAGUC